This is an unclassified non-coding RNA of Cercocebus atys (sooty mangabey), 113 nucleotides long. It matches the Rfam family "Y RNA". From Rfam's summary of the family: Y RNAs are components of the Ro ribonucleoprotein particle (Ro RNP), in association with Ro60 and La proteins. The Y RNAs and Ro60 and La proteins are well conserved, but the function of the Ro RNP is not known. Lineage: Eukaryota; Metazoa; Chordata; Mammalia; Primates; Cercopithecidae. The record is from Ensembl.
AGCUGGUCCAAAAAUAGUGAGUUAUCUCAAUUGAUUGUUCCCCAUCAGUUACAGAUCCAGCUCCUUGUUCUACUCUUUGCCCCCUUCUCACUACUGCACUUGACUAGUUUAAA